AUUGAACGCUGGCGGCAGGCCUAACACAUGCAAGUCGAGCGGAUGAAGGGAGCUUGCUCCUGGAUUCAGCGGCGGACGGGUGAGUAAUGCCUAGGAAUCUGCCUGGUAGUGGGGGAUAACGUCCGGAAACGGGCGCUAAUACCGCAUACGUCCUGAGGGAGAAAGUGGGGGAUCUUCGGACCUCACGCUAUCAUAUGAGCCUAGGUCGGAUUAAAUAGUUGGUGGGGUAGAGGGCUACCAAGGCGACGAUCCGUAACUGGUCUGAAAGGAUGAUCAGUCACAUUGGAACAGAGACACGGUCCAGACUCCUACGGUAGGAAGCAGUGGGGAAUAUUGGACAAUGGGCGAAAGCCUGAUCCAGCCAUGCCGCGUGUGUGAAGAAGGUCUUCGGAUUGUAAAGCACUUUAAGUUGGGAGGAAGGACAGUAAGUUAAUACCUUGCUGUUUUGACGUUACCAACAGAAUAAGCACCGGCUAACUUCGUG
RNAcentral lists this ribosomal RNA (484 nucleotides) under uncultured bacterium. RNAcentral describes it as "partial 16S ribosomal RNA". It matches the Rfam family "Bacterial small subunit ribosomal RNA", at positions 30 to 507 of the family's 1533-position model. The record is from RNAcentral.